CCUACGGGAGGCAGCAGUGAGGAAUAUUGGUCAAUGGACGAGAGUCUGAACCAGCCAAGUCGCGUGAAGGAUGACUGCCCUAUGGGUUGUAAACUUCUUUUAUCUGGGAAUAAUAUGUUCCACGUGUGGGAUUUUGUAUGUACCAUAUGAAUAAGGCUCGGCUAACUCCGUGCCAGCAGCCGCGGUAAUACGGAGGAUGGGAGCGUUAUCCGGAUUUAUUGGGUUUAAAGGGUGCGUAGGCGGAAGUUUAAGUCAGGGGUAAAAUUGAGGGGCUCAACCCCGUCCCGCCCUUGAAACGGGUGUUCUUGAGUGGAAGAGAAGUAUGCGGAAUGCGUGGUGUAGCGGUGAAAUGCAUAGAUAUCACGCAGAACCCCGAUUGCGAAGGCAGCAUACCGGCGCCCAACGGACGCUGAUGCACGAAAGCGUGGGGAUCGAACAGGAUUAGAUACCCGGGUAGUC
This 459-nucleotide ribosomal RNA is filed under the name uncultured bacterium. Its description in RNAcentral is "partial 16S ribosomal RNA". It matches the Rfam family "Bacterial small subunit ribosomal RNA", at positions 338 to 795 of the family's 1533-position model. The record is from RNAcentral.